CAGCGCCACGGUAAUACGGAGGGUGCAAGCGUUAAUCGGAAUUACUGGGCGUAAAGCGCACGCAGGCGGUCUGACAAGUCAGAUGUGAAAUCCCCGGGCUUAACCUGGGAACUGCAUUGGUGACUGCAACGCUGGAGUGCGGCAGAGGGGGAUGGAAUUCCGCGUGUAGCAGUGAAAUGCGUAGAUAUGCGGAGGAACACCGAUGGCGAAGGCAAUCCCCUGGGCCUGCACUGACGCUCAUGCACGAAAGCGUGGGGAGCAAACAGGAUUAGAUACCCCAGUAGUCCCUGUCUCUUAUACA
This 301-nucleotide ribosomal RNA is filed under the name uncultured bacterium. RNAcentral describes it as "partial 16S ribosomal RNA". It matches the Rfam family "Bacterial small subunit ribosomal RNA", at positions 509 to 808 of the family's 1533-position model. The record is from RNAcentral.